GGCCGGUUAGCUCAGUUGGUUAAAGCGCGAUGCUCGCAACACCAGGGUUGCGGGUUCGAUCCCCGCAUGGGCCA
Rhinolophus ferrumequinum (greater horseshoe bat) is the source of this 74-nucleotide non-coding RNA. Lineage: Eukaryota; Metazoa; Chordata; Mammalia; Chiroptera; Rhinolophidae. The record is from the annotation of a RefSeq genome assembly.